This 725-nucleotide ribosomal RNA is filed under the name Halomonas sp. MMRF697. RNAcentral's name for it is "bacterial SSU rRNA". It matches the Rfam family "Bacterial small subunit ribosomal RNA", at positions 320 to 1037 of the family's 1533-position model. Lineage: Bacteria; Pseudomonadati; Pseudomonadota; Gammaproteobacteria; Oceanospirillales; Halomonadaceae. The record is from RNAcentral.
UGAGACACGGCCCGAACUCCUACGGGAGGCAGCAGUGGGGAAUAUUGGACAAUGGGGGCAACCCUGAUCCAGCCAUGCCGCGUGUGUGAAGAAGGCCCUCGGGUUGUAAAGCACUUUCAGCGAGGAAGAACGCCUAGCGGUUAAUACCCGCUAGGAAAGACAUCACUCGCAGAAGAAGCACCGGCUAACUCCGUGCCAGCAGCCGCGGUAAUACGGAGGGUGCAAGCGUUAAUCGGAAUUACUGGGCGUAAAGCGCGCGUAGGUGGCUUGAUAAGCCGGUUGUGAAAGCCCCGGGCUCAACCUGGGAACGGCAUCCGGAACUGUCAAGCUAGAGUGCAGGAGAGGAAGGUAGAAUUCCCGGUGUAGCGGUGAAAUGCGUAGAGAUCGGGAGGAAUACCAGUGGCGAAGGCGGCCUUCUGGACUGACACUGACACUGAGGUGCGAAAGCGUGGGUAGCAAACAGGAUUAGAUACCCUGGUAGUCCACGCCGUAAACGAUGUCGACCAGCCGUUGGGUGCCUAGCGCACUUUGUGGCGAAGUUAACGCGAUAAGUCGACCGCCUGGGGAGUACGGCCGCAAGGUUAAAACUCAAAUGAAUUGACGGGGGCCCGCACAAGCGGUGGAGCAUGUGGUUUAAUUCGAUGCAACGCGAAGAACCUUACCUACUCUUGACAUCCUGCGAAUUCGGUAGAGAUACCUUAGUGCCUUCGGGAACGCAGAGACAG